Molecule: unclassified non-coding RNA, 211 nt
Filed under: Hevea brasiliensis (rubber tree)
Lineage: Eukaryota; Viridiplantae; Streptophyta; Magnoliopsida; Malpighiales; Euphorbiaceae
Source: RNAcentral
GGAAAACCUACAAAUCACAAGGUAUUCGGCGAGGACGUUGCUGUUCUCGCUGGAGAUGCGCUUUUAGCUUUCGCUUUUGAGCAUAUCGCUGUGUCGACCAUCGGCGUAGCGCCGCCGCGGAUAGUUCGGGCGAUUGGAGAACUCGCGAAGUCGAUUGGGGCUGAGGGGCUCGUCGCCGGCCAAGUUGUUGACAUUAAUUCCGAAGGGGCGG